RNAcentral lists this long non-coding RNA (4425 nucleotides) under Homo sapiens (human). RNAcentral describes it as "non-protein coding lnc-NKX2-5-1:1". The record is from RNAcentral. Lineage: Eukaryota; Metazoa; Chordata; Mammalia; Primates; Hominidae.
CCGACUUUGCUCCGGUAUCGCGCAGCUUGUUGGCCUCCGGGUCCCCCGUGCCAUGCCCCCGGGAGGCUCUCCACAGACACCGCUUGCGCCGAAUUAUACGAGACUGAAUGGGUUUUUUUGGUGUGUGUGUGCAACACAACAAUUUGUCAGCUGCUGUUCACAAUGCGCUCCGCCGGGCGGUGGAAACUUGGCUGCGGUAACGCACAGCAGGUUGGAGGGCACGACCCGGAAGGAAGGAAGAGGCGAGGAGGGAAAGGCGGCGACCCUAGGCCCGCUGGCCAGCCGUUUCCAGCAUCAAUUCAGCACUGAGCCGGCCGCAGCAGCACAGGGCUGGGGGCUCCCGGAGCUGCGGCCAGCCGGGGUUUCGGCCAGAGCCGCGGAGGCUGCCCGGUGGUAGGUGCGACUCUUCACCUCUCCGGGGAGCGGCGGCCGACGACCCAACCCACCCGCAGCGCUGCCGUCGGCCCGGCUGGUCCCCCGCGCGGGCACAAAAACAGGCGGCAGUUCGCCAGCUCUCUUUUCCCAAACCUGAACCGCCAAGCCGAAGGUUCUUCCAAAGUCGCGGUUCCCCGGGCUUCACACCCGCCGGGCAGGCGCGAACCAGCCCCAGGACAACCAUUUUCCUCUUCACUGUAUCUGAGUCGUUGUCCAUCUGACUCGAAUGUCACCUGAUUUUCCCAGCUGUGACCUCCAGCGACGGGACUCCGAGGAACUGAUUCCAGCGUCUCGAUUCUCUCCGCCUCUCCGCCCGUUUUGGCUGAAGCGGUUUGCAGCCGUCGGGGCAGAAGGGGUGGGAUGUGGCAGCCACCAGCCCCAGCCCAGAGAAGAAAAGAGGACGAAAUUAACGCGAAAGGACACCGGAAGUCUGAAAGCGACUCCCUCGGAUCCUCGGAAUCCGAGGCAAACCCUAACACUAGUUUGAAAGCGGAUCAUAUCCACUAAUCCAGGACAAAUUCGGGUUGGGAAACAUACUCCCCAGAGCCUAAGAAAACUGACUUACAACAAAACAAAACUGACAAGGACAAAAUGCAAAGGAGUUUGUGAAACGUAAUUGCUCUCAGAAAAUAUGUGUAUAUAUAUACAUCCUAUAAUAUGUUUUAAAUUUGCAAAAAAAAAGUCUCUAAGAGGAUAUAUUUUUAAAACCAGUGGCAGCUUGGGAGGGAGUGGGGAUUAGCUGAGAAGGGGAGAAGGAAGCAUUUUUGAGGUGACGUAAAUGUUUUUGUAUCUUGAUUAUGGUGGCUGUUAUGGGGGUGCACAUCCAAGUGUCAAGACUCAUCGAACUGUACACUUUUGUUCUAGGUACAUUAGACCUCAAUAAAGUGGAUUUUAAACCUAAAUAAGCCAGGUAACAGCUUUGCCUGGGUGGCUGGGGGAGAGGCUUGGGACACUUUACAUUGAUCUCCCUCUUAGGCAUGUUCGUUUUGGUUUGGUUUUGUUCUUAUGAUGUAUUAUUUAUUCAAAAAUAUAUCAUUAGCAGAGUGACUGAUGUAAAUGUAAAACCAUUGUUAAGGAAACCAACAAAAGCGGGAACAAGAGACACUGGUGCAUCCUGUUAGAGGGAUAAGAAUAAGCACUCGCUGUCCAAGCUCAUAAAAUAUUUUGGAAAUGAAUGUCGUUCCGCUUUGUUUUUUUGGUUUUUUUGCUCAUGUGUUUAACAUCAACGAGAAAUGAGGACCCAAAACUUAUCCAGUGGUUACGUGUGGUGUGUGUGGCUGUCAUCUCCUUGGGACUGGCUACUGAAGGCCACAGGCGUGGGAGGACCAAAUGCUCCCUGGAUGUUGAGUCCCAGCCGGUAAGCAGCACACAGUCCCGCUUGCAGCAAAGAUGUGGUGGCCGGCUGCGCUGUGGGGGAAGGCCAGGCCCGGACAGGAACCUCAGAUCUCACCGGCGGAUGAGAGUGGUGCCCCCUGCAGCUGGAGUCCCUGCUGGCCUGAGAGGCUCCAGGCUGUGCCACCGUUGGGCAGACCCCACACUUCAGGGAGCUGCCAGGAUCAGUGGCUACAAGAGUCCCCACCGUGUUUGGAGAAACUAGGCCUGCAGUCGGAAUAAGAGGAUCCGUGACGAGAUCCGUGAGAGCGCCUGGCACACCCCGUGGGCACUGAACAAGCGUGGAAAUGAGAAGGAUUUGGUGCCAGCUGAGCCACCUGAAUGAGGCGAGUCCCGAGGCAGGAAAAAUCCGGUGCCGCGGAGGCCGCCUGGACUCUUCCGGAGCCAAGGGCGAGGUCGGCGGCCCUCAGAGUCGCCCCCCGCCCCCAACUCCCGGCCAGGAAGGAAGCCGGGCGGCGGAGGGGCCCAGCGCGGAGGCGGAGGCGGAGGCGGAGGCGGAGGCCGAGGCCGGGAGUCCGGCGCGCAGCCGGAGCUGCUCAUCCAUCAGCCGGACGAAGAGCAGAGUCGCGCUCUCGGCCCUCUGUUUGCUUUCUCGCCAAUUAUUGCAGCGCCGCAGCCCCUUUGUUGAUACAGUAGUCCGAAAAAGUGCUAAUGUUCAUUUAUCAGGGGGCCAGCCGGGGACUCCCACGAGUUGCGAUUCUUCCCAAAAUAUAAACAUGGGGCGAGCGUCCCAGACAGAAACUCCCAUCUGUUUCCCCCGCGCGGGCCGAGAGCGAGGCGUUGUUGAAGAUAAAGCCGCGGAUAACGCCGCCUGUCUCCAAUGGACGUCUCCCCAGCGCAUUAAUGACAUUCCCGGUGAUAGUUCCAGCUUAUCUUUCAAUUAAUCAUAUAUACCUUUUGCGACCAGCCCUGCUGAUUGCACGAAAGGGGGGCCGGCUCCGGCUGCGCCGAUCGCUUUUCAAUUAAUAAUAAUUUAUUCACGGAGAAUGCGCUCGAGCCACCCUGGAAUUUGGAUUAUCUUAAAGCACCAACUCUUUAAAAGUCAAGGAAAUACACAGAUAGAUUUUCGAUCUCUUCUCUCUCCUUUUGUCUCUCUCUGCCUUUCUCUAGGCUGAAGGCUGUUUGUUUGUCCUGCUAGUUUGGUCAAAGUGCGGCGCAGAGAGGCGGCCAGGUUGGGUCAGCGGCCCUUGGGAAAAAAAGAUGUGUCCCUGUUGGGGGCCAGAGAAUCAAGUUUCCUCCCACCCAACCCCCAACUAUUGCAAUUUCUAUUUAGAUCUAUUUAGAGGGAUUUUUUUUUAACUCACUCGGAAACAGUGAGGACUGGAAAGAAAAGCUGCAAAUGGCUCUCGGACUUUCCUCUAAGGAGACCAGCAUGGGUCGCCCCAAUUUCUAUUUUGCACGUAUUUGUCCGUUUUUGCCCCAUCUCCUCUCUCCUGCAACACCAAGACCUUUUUGGAAGCCAAGAGAAAUCAUUACCCGAUUCACAAAGAGCAUAGAGAGUGUAACAGUCACUGAUCUUGUUCAAAUAGGGAGAGUUUUUUUUCCUUCCCUUUUUGUAACACCUGACCCACAGGACUGACAGUUCUAGGAAGCCCCCUUACCCGAAAAUAGGAAAUAAAUCCUUGCCACCUUGAUUUGCAAGGGCAAUGCUAAUUUUUUUCUUUCUCCAGAGCUCUCAAAAAAAAAAAAAAAAAAACCUUACUAAAAACAGGGAUCCCGGAUGUAGCCUCGAUGUCCCCCAUUAAACGGUAAUAUUUCAGGCGUCCGCUCACACUAAUCUUUCAAACUGUCAUCGCGAGCCGCCUGGCCAGCAGAUUCACUUAACAGCGCUCCCAGGACCCUCGUUCCGAGCUCUUUUCAGCGAGACAUUUAAUUGAAUCGGAUGUGGCUCGUUUGCCAGACGUCACCGCCUCGGCGAUAGGCAUCCUCUCCAACGACACCCCCCCCCGCCCGCGCUCGAAAACAAUCUUCAAAGGCAAGGCGGGCCCCCAAGCUAGGUUAAUUUACAGCCAUAACGGUAACGUGGCCAAAAGUCCAGGCGAGGAAGGGCCGCAAGGCCGCUGACAUGCAGCUCCGUCCAAGGAGAAUUUGGGUUGGGAGGUGAAGAGGUGGGGGGACGAGGUUUCCUGGGCCUUGAACGCCCCACAUUUAAGAAAAGGCAUCCUCCACAGACUAGACUAACAAUUCCAGACCCCCAGUAGUCCCUGGCUCAGAAACUCGAGGCGUGAUUUCGGCGUGGCAGCCCAGGCCUGUUACUGACGGCUGGCGCCUAGAAGCCGGGGUCAGGGCGUUGCGCGCCUCCUGGGCUGCCCUGCGGGGCUCACCUCUCUCCCCAGCAUGGAGGCCCCAGGUCCUGGGAGUGUGGCUUUGAUGAGGGACAGGAAAAGUCCCAACAUCAGGCCAAUGCUUGACUUCACUUGCGUCGGCGUCUCAGACGGCACACUGUCGGGUUUGAGCACCCAAGAUGUACGUUCUGGACAGACACUAUUUUGUCCCCAUACAUGGAGCGUUUCCUCCGCACCUUGGGCGCGCCUGCGGGAGCUGUGUCUUUAGGUAGUUUUUGGCCCUGCGCCGCCUUUAUUCUACUCCAAGCGCCUC